Non-coding RNA from Camellia sinensis, 535 nucleotides. Lineage: Eukaryota; Viridiplantae; Streptophyta; Magnoliopsida; Ericales; Theaceae. The record is from RefSeq and is a predicted model, not a curated record.
CUUCAAUCUUAUAUAUAUACUUGAUUGGUUGGUUCUAUCCAUGUAAACAAAUUACGUGAUAAAAAAAUACUUGAUUGGGUGGUUCUGUCCAUACAAAGAGGCUUCCAAUUAGGGGUGGGCAGGGGGUUAUCCAACCCGCACAACCCGCCCGCAACCCGAAAUUCUCUCAUUUUAUCACCGAUCGGCGAUCACACUCAUCAUCUCAGGCAUCUAUCUCUCUCAGCAAAGCAACCACUUAUCACUCUUAUCAUCUCAGCGAAGCGACCGAUUCCAUCUCUCUCUCUCAGCGAAGCAUCGAUCAACCUUCGGCAACUCUCAGGGUUCAUUAACCAAAUGCAUAGAAUUAGAAUUGGAAUUUGCGAAAGUUGAAUUGGAUGUGAUUCAUGAAGAUGAAGUUUGAUAUCUUAGAAGUAUUUUAAUUUUAUUUCAUGGGUUUGUAUUGAAUGAAGUUUAAGUUUGACAAGAACUUUUUUUUUUUUUAAUUGCGUUUUGGUUUUGGAUGAAUGUAACUUAAUGAAUUUUUAUUUUUUUUUUU